AGGCGCCGAGAGCGAGCGAGGGCUGUGAGGACUGCCAGCAUGCUGUCACCUCUCAGUAUAAUUUAAGAUCAACCCUAAUUGAAAAUACUAUAUUUUGAAGGGUCACGUUUCUCUUUAGAUUACACACAGUGUCUUGUGAUACUGCCUCUGGUCAGCUGAUUUCUCCUUGCCUCAUUCCAACUUCUUUUGUCAGAAAAUUCUUCAAGAUUGCCACAUUCUUUCACAAUAAUAUGACUUUUCUCCAAGCGUUUGCACCUCCACGACCUGCACAAGUCAUGGUUUUGUUUGCUUCCUUGCUCUUGGAUGUGAUUCUGAUCUCUGGCCCUUGGACAUCUGGUUAGUUCUGGUCAGUUCCCACCCUGGACCAGCCCCAGAGAUUACACAGGAUGAAAGAUAUCUCACCAGCACAAGGGAGGUGGGAAGAGAACAUGGAAGUCAAGCACCUUUUUAAAAGAUUUGAAAUGGAAGCUGUGCACAUGACUGUGGAUCAUACCUCUCAUUCACGGCCACAUACAGCUGCAAGUCUCUACGCUUAUGGCCAUACAGCUCAGCCAAAAGGGGUGUAUGUGGGAAGUUCUGUUAAUAAAAAGAGGAAGGGGAGAAUAAAUAAUAGUAGGGGACAAUAACAUUCAAUUUAAUAUAUACAUUGAAUCAAGGAAUACUUCACCACAAUAACCACUAAAAGAUACA
Molecule: long non-coding RNA, 690 nt
Filed under: Homo sapiens (human)
Lineage: Eukaryota; Metazoa; Chordata; Mammalia; Primates; Hominidae
Description: HSALNT0336313
Source: RNAcentral